RNAcentral lists this unclassified non-coding RNA (222 nucleotides) under plant metagenome. RNAcentral describes it as "partial contains small subunit ribosomal RNA, internal transcribed spacer 1, and 5.8S ribosomal RNA". The record is from RNAcentral.
UUUCCGUAGGUGAACCUGCGGAAGGAUCAUUAAAGAGAAUAUGCCCUUCGGGGUAGAUCUCCCACCCUUUGUUUAUAUUACCUUUGUUGCUUUGGCAGGCCCGUCUUCGGACCACCGGCUUCGGCUGGUCAGUGCUUGCCAGAGGACCCAAAACUCUUAUUAUUAUGUCGUCUGAGUACUAUAUAAUAGUUAAAACUUUCAACAACGGAUCUCUUGGUUCUG